RNAcentral lists this ribosomal RNA (426 nucleotides) under uncultured bacterium. RNAcentral describes it as "bacterial SSU rRNA". It matches the Rfam family "Bacterial small subunit ribosomal RNA", at positions 36 to 466 of the family's 1533-position model. The record is from RNAcentral.
UCUCUCCUCAGACCUCACACAUGCAAGUGGAGGGGUAUUGGGAUCUUGUUCCAAAGAGCCGGCGGAUGGGAGUAACGCGUAUGCAAUCUACCUUUUACUAAGGGAUAGCCCGGAGAAAUUCGGAUUAAUCCCUUAUGGUUUUAUGUUUUGGCAUCGAUUAAUAAAUAAAGAUUUAUCGGUAAAAGAUGGGCAUGCGUCCCAUUAGUUAGUUGGUAAGGUAACGGCAUACCAAGGCUAUGAUGGGUAGGGGUCCUGAGAGGGAGAUCCCCCACACUGGUACUGAGACACGGACCAGACUCCUACGGGAGGCAGCAGUGAGGAAUAUUGGUCAAUGGANGNAAGUCUGAACCAGCCAUGCCGCGUGCAGGAAGAANCNUAUGGGUUGUAAACUGCUUUUAUACGGGAAGAAAUCUGNGUAGGUNUGAC